This 900-nucleotide ribosomal RNA is filed under the name Gallus gallus (chicken). RNAcentral describes it as "SSU rRNA". It matches the Rfam family "Eukaryotic small subunit ribosomal RNA", at positions 26 to 906 of the family's 1831-position model. Lineage: Eukaryota; Metazoa; Chordata; Aves; Galliformes; Phasianidae. The record is from RNAcentral.
GUGCCUUCAUGUCUCAAGAUUACGCCAUGCAUGUCUAGUACACACGAGGCGGUACAGUUGCAAACUGCGAAUCGGCUCAUUAAAUCAGUUAUGGUUCCUUUGGUCGCUCCCCUCCCGUUACUUGGAUAACUGUGGUAAUUCUAGAGCUAAUACAUGCCGACGAGCGCCGACCUCCGGGGACGCGUGCAUUUAUCAGACCAAAACCAACCCGGGCUCGCCCGGCGGCUUUGGUGACUCUAGAUAACCUCGAGCCGAUCGCACGCCCCCGUGGCGGCGACGACCCAUUCGAAUGUCUGCCCUAUCAACUUUCGAUGGUACUGUCUGUGCCUACCAUGGUGACCACGGGUAACGGGGAAUCAGGGUUCGAUUCCGGAGAGGGAGCCUGAGAAACGGCUACCACAUCCCAGGAAGGCAGCAGGCGCGCAAAUUACCCACUCCCGACCCGGGGAGGUAGUGACGAAAAAUAACAAUACAGGACUCUUUCGAGGGCCUGUAAUUGGAAUGAGUCCACUUUAAAUCCUUUAACGAAGAUCCAUUGGAGGGCAAGUCUGGUGCCAGCAGCCGCGGUAAUUCCAGCUCCAAUAGCGUAUAUUAGAGUUGCUGCACUUAAGAAGCUCCUACUUGGAUCUUGGGAUCGAUCUGGUCGAGCUCCUCUAGAGUAACUAACGCCUGUGGCCGAGCCCGGGUCUCUUUUGCCCCUCUAAACGCUUUACUGACCGGGACGCGGGGGGUCCGAAAGGGUUUAUUUUGUAUAAAAUUAGAGCGUUCAAACCGGUGGGGCGGCCGGGAAACCCCCCAUGGGAAAUAUUGGUGUUUGGACUGCCGCUUUUUUUUUUUGGGUUUUCCGAAACGGGGGGCCAUGUAUAAAAAAGGGAGCGUCUGUGUUGUUAUAAAACAAUU